UACGAAGGGGGCUAGCGUUGUUCGGAAUUACUGGGCGUAAAGGGCGCGUAGGCGGUGUGUCAAGUCAGGCGUGAAAGCCCCGGGCUCAACCUGGGAACCGCGCUUGAGACUGGCACGCUAGAGUUCGGGAGAGGAUGAUGGAAUUCCCAGUGUAGAGGUGAAAUUCGUAGAUAUUGGGAAGAACACCGAUGGCGAAGGCAGCCAUCUGGACCGACACUGACGCUGAGGCGCGAAAGCGUGGGGAGCAAACAGG
Molecule: ribosomal RNA, 253 nt
Filed under: uncultured bacterium
Lineage: Bacteria
Description: partial 16S ribosomal RNA
Rfam family: Bacterial small subunit ribosomal RNA
Source: RNAcentral